GUUCGGGUCAAACCAUAGUUUCCCGAGAACAUCAAUAGCCUCUGUGGUAUCACGAAGAUCGAACUUUUUUCUAUCACAUGAUUCAACUGCAGUACAAUAAUAACCAUGUUAAGCAAUAUUCACAUUUUCUUAUAGAUGAUUAAGCUAUUGAUGUCUAACUAUGUUAAGCAAUAUUCACAUUUUCUUAUAGAUGAUUAAGUUAUUGAUGUCUAGAUGGAGGAACUGUACCACCGCUACUGUGCUACAAAUGCUUACUAUAGAUAGUAUCUAUUUAAUUUUAAUUUAUGAUAUAGAUUCUUGACCUAAAAUGAAAAAAAAAUACAAAAGAAUGUGUUCUUUAGAAUAACUAAGUGAAUAUUAGUUCGAAAUCUGUGUACAAUAUUAUAGAUGAUGGCUUAGUGUUCUAAUGUUACUUACGUGGAGUUUGAUGGUGGUGAUCGUUGGUCAAUAAGGAGUGAGCCGUUUGUCAAGAGGGUUGCAACCUCUGCUGAUCCUAGACUCUUUGCUAUGGGUCCAUCUUUGCCUGGUUUUCAUAUAGGUCAUCAUCAUAAUGGAUAACGUGACUUUUAAAGCUUCACUAACGACAACCCUUUUGUACAAUCUAGGAUAGGGCCCCUUUUUAAGGCAUAAAUUACCUUCAGGUUGCUUGUAAUGACUCUCACCACUUUCAAUUGGGGGAUUAAGAAAAAUGGCUACAUUUAACCUCUUAAUAUUGCUUCUAUUUUCACUAUAUUCACUACAUUUGCUACUGUAAAAAAGACUAUAGUCAAUAAAAAGUGUGCAAAUAAUUUCAAUAGUAAAUUAAGAAUAUAGAAAGCAAGUCGAAACGCCAACAAUUAGUCAAUUUAAAUGCAUCCUAAAGCAAGCAAGAACACCCAAAAUUUGUUAGUUAAUCUUUCCUUAUUGAAACAUUCAGACGAUAAUUGUAACAAUAUUGUUUUUGUAAUCAUAAUAUACAACUGAACUAUGUAAAAAUCAUUCAAAAAUCAAUGAAAACCUGUUUUAAGAGGUCAUCCAACCCAACAUCGCCCAUUUUAACCCUCAUCCUCUUCGACCCGUUGCAUAACCCAACUGACCCGCCCAUCUUGCUACCUCUACCUUGAUGAAUAUAAACAAAGAAAGAGCUUUAAAUAAACACAAUAAGAUAUUGACCCAAGCUUACCUUUUUAAGAGGCCCCUUAGUUUCUUGGAUAAGUGAACGUGCAUUAUCAACUCUCCCCCAUAUUUUCAGCUUUAAAGCUUGUGGCUUUUGUGGUUUAAUAUUUUUCUUUUCUUUCAUGAAUUUCACUACGCCCAAUCCCUGAAAACUUCAAAAAUAAAAAGAAAGAUACAUGACUCCAUGCCAUCAAAUUCAACUCAAUUUACUCAAUAAGAGAGCUCUUUUAGGUCAACUUUAUACCAGAUGGUGUAACGACAUGUAUCAAAUUUAGAUCAACCUUCACUUUAGGAAUCUUAUUUCCAACAUUUGAAAUUUCAAAGAACUUACCAUGGCAGUGAACGACUCAUGGCGCUGA
Molecule: long non-coding RNA, 1514 nt
Filed under: Helianthus annuus (common sunflower)
Lineage: Eukaryota; Viridiplantae; Streptophyta; Magnoliopsida; Asterales; Asteraceae
Description: hypothetical non coding rna
Source: RNAcentral